UGGGGAAUUUUGCGCAAUGGGGGAAACCCUGACGCAGCAACGCCGCGUGCGGGAUGACGGCCUUCGGGUUGUAAACCGCUUUCAGUAGGGAAGAACAUCGACGGUACCUACAGAAGAAGCCCCGGCUAACUACGUGCCAGCAGCCGCGGUAAUACGUAGGGGGCAAGCGUUAUCCGGAUUCAUUGGGCGUAAAGCGCGCGUAGGCGGUUGCCUAAGCGGGACCUCUAAUCUUAGGGCUCAACCUUAAGCCGGGUCCCGAACUGGGUGACUUGAGUGCGGUAGAGGAAAGUGGAAUUCCCGGUG
This 303-nucleotide ribosomal RNA is filed under the name uncultured bacterium. RNAcentral's name for it is "bacterial SSU rRNA". It matches the Rfam family "Bacterial small subunit ribosomal RNA", at positions 355 to 675 of the family's 1533-position model. The record is from RNAcentral.